UACGAGGGGUGCAAGCGUUGCUCGGAAUUAUUGGGCGUAAAGGGUAGGUAGGUGGUCUCAUUUGUCUGGGGUGAAAGCCUUGGGCUUAACUCAAGAAGUGCCCCGGAAACGGUGAGACUAGAGUGCUGGAGAGGGUCGUGGAAUUCCCGGUGUAGCGGUGAAAUGCGUAGAGAUCGGGAGGAACACCAGAGGCGAAGGCGGCGACCUGGACAGCUACUGACACUCAACUACGAAAGCGUGGGGAGCAAACAGG
Molecule: ribosomal RNA, 253 nt
Filed under: uncultured bacterium
Lineage: Bacteria
Description: partial 16S ribosomal RNA
Rfam family: Bacterial small subunit ribosomal RNA
Source: RNAcentral